AGCGAACGCUGGCGGCAGGCUUAACACAUGCAAGUCGAGCGGGCCCUUCGGGGUCAGCGGCAGACGGGUGAGUAACACGUGGGAACGCACCCUUUGGUUCGGAAUAACGCUGGGAAACUAGCGCUAAUACCGGAUACGCCCUUUUGGGGAAAGGCUUGCUGCCGAAGGAUCGGCCCGCGUCUGAUUAGCUAGUUGGUGGGGUAAUGGCCUACCAAGGCGACGAUCAGUAGCUGGUCUGAGAGGAUGAUCAGCCACACUGGGACUGAGACACGGCCCAGACUCCUACGGGAGGCAGCAGUGGGGAAUAUUGGACAAUGGGCGCAAGCCUGAUCCAGCCAUGCCGCGUGAGUGAUGAAGGCCUUAGGGUUGUAAAGCUCUUUUGUCCGGGACGAUAAUGACGGUACCGGAAGAAUAAGCCCCGGCUAACUUCGUG
RNAcentral lists this ribosomal RNA (433 nucleotides) under uncultured bacterium. RNAcentral's name for it is "partial 16S ribosomal RNA". It matches the Rfam family "Bacterial small subunit ribosomal RNA", at positions 29 to 507 of the family's 1533-position model. The record is from RNAcentral.